AUUCUGAUUGACAUGAUGAAAUGCAAUAUGAAAUGCUAAAUGAAUGCAUGAAUGAGGAGGGCAAAUUUUGGGGUGCUACACCUUUCAACAGGAACCCUCCUUUGAAUGACAAACUUCCACUUGGCAGCACCAUCUUCCAGAUGGAAAGAGAUGUUGUCUAAGUGCACAGCUGCAACUUUGGCUGGAGACUUUUUCACAGUCUGCCUUUUAGCAGGAGAAAUGUCUGGGACAUCGUCUUCGACAUCAUCUUCAGAGUCAGAACUCUCUCUGACCUUCCUCUUCCUAACCUCUACUUUACUCCAUGAUUUGGAGGGUCCUACACCAGCAACCUUUU
Molecule: long non-coding RNA, 334 nt
Filed under: Lathyrus oleraceus (garden pea)
Lineage: Eukaryota; Viridiplantae; Streptophyta; Magnoliopsida; Fabales; Fabaceae
Description: Pisum sativum (pea) long non-coding RNA (PSAT_LNC035099)
Source: RNAcentral